Molecule: ribosomal RNA, 119 nt
Filed under: Triticum aestivum (bread wheat)
Lineage: Eukaryota; Viridiplantae; Streptophyta; Magnoliopsida; Poales; Poaceae
Source: RNAcentral
AGAUGCGAUCAUACCAGCACUAAAGCACCGGAUUCCAUCAAAACUCCGAAGUUAAGCGUGCUUGGGCGAGAGUAGUACUAGGAUGGGUGACCUCCUGGGAAGUCCUCGUGUUGCAUUCC